RNAcentral lists this unclassified non-coding RNA (803 nucleotides) under Hevea brasiliensis (rubber tree). Lineage: Eukaryota; Viridiplantae; Streptophyta; Magnoliopsida; Malpighiales; Euphorbiaceae. The record is from RNAcentral.
CAUGACAAAAGCAAGUUGAGAAAGGUAACAGAACGAGUUCGCCCUCAGAUUACACCAAAAUUAGAUGAAAGAGAUUUGCUACUAGAACAAAUACGAACUAAGUCCUUUAACUUGAAGCCUGCGGCUGUGAUGAGGCCUAGCAUUCAGGGUAUUCAGGAUAUCAGGAUACAAAAACCAACUUGAAGGUUGCGGCCAUAUUGGAGAAAGCAAAUGCAAUUCGCCAGGCUUUGGCUGGAAGUGAUGAAGACGAUGAUACAGACAGCUGGAGCGAGUGAUUCUUGAGAAAACUUGCUCAAGUGCAGCAUUUUACCGUGGUGGUUAAUGCCUGCUUUAGAUACACAUUAAUUCUCCCCAAAAGUGAAUAGCAAUCACUGCAGUUUGGGUAAAGUGAAUAGCAACCACUGCAGUUUGGGUAUUCUUUUCCGCUCUACGCUAUAAAUUCAUGUAUAGACUUUCUGUUCCACUCGUCUUCCUUGUCACACAUAGUUGUUGAAGAUGCACCGGUUGGUAUGCUGCCCCCUGCUCUUUCUCAGGAACCCAAUCCAAGGCUUACAAGAAUGGCUCAGCGUGCAAGCGCUUAUCCAGUCAAAAUGUGUGUAUAACUGUAUUAGUAUCUCAGUGGGUGUAAAUUUUGUUGGAGUGGCGUAAAUUUUGAGGUGAAGCGCUCAUAUAAUGAAAUUUUGUAAUUUGUAUGUAGGGAUUUCGUUAUAUACACCUCUGCCCCAAUUAGAAUGUUCUCUAGUUUAUGGAAUGAUUGUAUGAGGUUUGCAUGAUUCUUUACAGAAUUAUGGAUGUACUGGCAC